RNAcentral lists this long non-coding RNA (855 nucleotides) under Manacus vitellinus (golden-collared manakin). Its description in RNAcentral is "lncRNA (ENSMVIG00005018608.1)". Lineage: Eukaryota; Metazoa; Chordata; Aves; Passeriformes; Pipridae. The record is from RNAcentral.
UGACGAGUGUUUUGUUUUCAUUUCAGGCAGAGUUGGCCACCACACAAAAAAAAUGAAGUAAGUGUAGUCUCAAAGCACAUAUUUAAAAUAUAUGGACUCCAAUGAAAUUAAGUGCCUGUAUUAACUAAUCAUUCUGGACGAGGUAAACUUGUUUCUUUUAUCAGUUGUAAAGAACACUCCUGGAUCUUUUGCAGCACAUGGGGUGUUUUUAAGCAUUUCUUCUGUGUCAAGCUCAUAUUCCCUUAGUACUUCAUCUUAGAUAAGGGAAGAAUAAAACCAGAUUAUUUUUUUUUAUACAUAGAACAUGAGAGAAGAGAUUUUGCUUACACUAAACCUGGGGCUUUGGGGGAUUUUGUUCAGCUUAAGGUGACCUGAAAGUUUCACUCUCAGAUAACUCUUGAGAGCCUGCACUUGGAGGAAUGAGGAAAGUUCAUACCUGCUGAGAGUUUCUGAGUGCUUUGGGUCAAGAGCCAUUAUGGGACAUCCACCACAUUGCUUAUUUGUAAACAAUUAAUUAAUUAACGCAAGACCUUUAACAAUUACUUGGUGUUGCAAGUAUUGCAGUCCUUGUAUAACCAAAAUCCACCAACACCCUUGUUUUGUUCUGUAAAAUACUCCUAAGAACUCUGCUGUAAUAUGUUGCUAAUGUUUAUUUUCUUUUGGCUCCCCAGGAAGAAGAAGACACUGCACCCCAGAGGGCAGUGCCACAGCUGUGCCUGCCCCCCUACAGCUCCAGCUCCCUCCCAGCCAAACCUCUCAAACCUCCACCCAAGCCAGGAUCCAACAGCCUGCCUGGGGCAGAAAGUGCUAGAAACCUGUCUUCAACUGGCUCACUACCACCUCGCUUACAUCUAG